RNAcentral lists this ribosomal RNA (251 nucleotides) under uncultured prokaryote. RNAcentral describes it as "partial 16S ribosomal RNA". It matches the Rfam family "Bacterial small subunit ribosomal RNA", at positions 525 to 775 of the family's 1533-position model. The record is from RNAcentral.
ACGGAGGGUGCGAGCGUUAAUCGGAAUUACUGGGCGUAAAGCGCACGCAGGCGGUUCGUUAAGUCAGAUGUGAAAGCCCGGGGCUCAACCUGGGAACUGCAUCUGAAACUGGUAAGCUUGAGUAUUGUAGAGGGGGGUAGAAUUCCAGGUGUAGCGGUGAAAUGCGUAGAGAUCUGGAGGAAUACCGGUGGCGAAGGCGGCCCCCUGGACGAAGACUGACGCUCAGGUGCGAAAGCGUGGGGAGCAAACAG